This 230-nucleotide long non-coding RNA is filed under the name Vigna radiata. RNAcentral's name for it is "long non-coding RNA (VRAD_LNC016387)". Lineage: Eukaryota; Viridiplantae; Streptophyta; Magnoliopsida; Fabales; Fabaceae. The record is from RNAcentral.
GACCAAUAUCAUCUUAACUCAAAUUCUUCCCCUACUCUUUCUUCUUACUUCAUCAUUCUUACGUAACCCAAUAUAAGACCAAUAACAUUCACGGUGGCACCCACACACUAACUCACAUUAUUCCUACUGACCCUUACGUAACUUCAAUCCCCAAGGUUUCUUUUUCUCAUCUUCCUCAUCGUUAAUACACUCACACACAAUGCAACCACCUGAAAACAUCAACAAAAACC